GACCCCAUGCCGAACUCAGAAGUGAAACGCCGUAGCGCCGAUGGUAGUGUGGGGUCUCCCCAUGUGAGAGUAGGGAAUUGCCAGGC
RNAcentral lists this ribosomal RNA (86 nucleotides) under Klebsiella aerogenes. RNAcentral also lists the same sequence under 11 other names. Lineage: Bacteria; Pseudomonadati; Pseudomonadota; Gammaproteobacteria; Enterobacterales; Enterobacteriaceae. The record is from RNAcentral.